UUAGAAAAGUAGGACUCGAACCUACACAAAGAGAUCAAAGCCCUCUAUACUUCCCUUAUAUUAUUUCCU
Molecule: transfer RNA, 69 nt
Filed under: Malacoptila semicincta (semicollared puffbird)
Lineage: Eukaryota; Metazoa; Chordata; Aves; Piciformes; Bucconidae
Description: tRNA-Gln
Source: RNAcentral